This 21-nucleotide microRNA is filed under the name Glycine max (soybean). Its description in RNAcentral is "gma-miR396j". Its record names the gene gma-miR396j. Lineage: Eukaryota; Viridiplantae; Streptophyta; Magnoliopsida; Fabales; Fabaceae. The record is from miRBase by way of RNAcentral.
AUUCAAGAUAGCUGUGGAAAA